Bubalus bubalis (water buffalo) is the source of this 147-nucleotide small nucleolar RNA. RefSeq annotates it as small nucleolar RNA SNORA81. The transcript has a single exon. The record is from RefSeq and is a predicted model, not a curated record. NCBI's taxonomy places the organism in Eukaryota, Metazoa, Chordata, Mammalia, Artiodactyla, Bovidae.
ACAGGAUUGGUAAUACCUUACUAAAAUGCGUGUAUGAUGCUAGCAGAGUAUUACACAAGAAGAGGAACUGCACUAGAUUGUAAAGACUGGGGUGGACCUCUUUCUUAAUGUCCAGUGUCCUUUGUCUUAAGAUUUGGUGCAAUAUGU